This 120-nucleotide ribosomal RNA is filed under the name Blastodinium inornatum. Its description in RNAcentral is "partial 18S ribosomal RNA". It matches the Rfam family "Eukaryotic small subunit ribosomal RNA", at positions 1710 to 1831 of the family's 1831-position model. The record is from RNAcentral. Lineage: Eukaryota; Dinophyceae; Blastodiniales.
UCGGACUGCGGUAGUGUUCUAUUCUGAAUACUGCUGUGGAAAGUUUAGUGAACCUUAUCACUUAGAGGAAGGAGAAGUCGUAACAAGGUUUCCGUAGGUGAACCUGCGGAAGGAUCAUUC